GGAGAACAACAAAGAAAUGACACUUCUUCACCUAGACCUGCUUUGCCACAUUAUAACUAGCCAGCUGAGCAGUAUAUAAUGUUACAUGUGAAAUAUUUGGACCCUUCUCAGGGAACAUUUCAUUCUCAAUGAAGGAGUUGUUUUCACGUGUUUAGAGAGCAGAGUCUCAGUGAUACUGAAAGCUGGCAUUCGGUCAACCAUCAUCAAAGAGGAGUUGUAGACUUGAUGCUGAAGAGAGGUGGAGGUCUGGUUAGGCUUUGGAAAGCCUGUUUGAGGAAAGAAGAGGUGUGUUUUCAGCCCAGACAGCUGAAGUUGCAGAUUCCAGAUGGAUUUCGCUGUGCUGAUUAGACUCUGCAGGAUCAGGGUGCUGUGAUCGUGGAGAGGGUUAUCGAGAGAGAGGCUGAAGCUUUAACCGAACAAAACUGCAUGUCAAGAUGUAAUGAGGUCGAUUUUUGGAGAAUGGAUUUUCAAGGGGUUUUUAAAAUUCUCUCAAAUUUUUGCCUUGCUUUGAUUGAUAUAUCAGUAUGAAGGACUUAAUAGAGUAAAUGUGCAUGUCAACUUGUAAUAAGAUGUUAUGGACACUCUAAAUCUUUGAUUGAUGCACCAGUAUGAAGGAGAUAAUUUUUUAAGUAUUCAUUUGAGCUCUAAAUAUUCUUUAGAAAUGGAGCGUGCAAUUUCUGUGCCAUUAACAGCACCAAACUGCUUUCAGAUCAGUUUCCUGAACACUCCUCCUGUCUGCCAUUGGUCGGACAAAAAGAUAAUCCCGCCUUCAAACUUACACUAUUGAGUGCUAACUUAUAAAACUUUAAAGACAGACCUUCUGUGAGCUACGGUAUUGUUAAUCAAUGGUAUAUGCUUU
Long non-coding RNA from Sinocyclocheilus rhinocerous, 859 nucleotides. RefSeq lists it as uncharacterized. NCBI's taxonomy places the organism in Eukaryota, Metazoa, Chordata, Actinopteri, Cypriniformes, Cyprinidae. The record is from RefSeq and is a predicted model, not a curated record. The transcript has 3 exons.